Molecule: ribosomal RNA, 253 nt
Filed under: uncultured bacterium
Lineage: Bacteria
Description: partial 16S ribosomal RNA
Rfam family: Bacterial small subunit ribosomal RNA
Source: RNAcentral
UACGAAGGGGGCGAGCGUUGUUCGGAAUUACUGGGCGUAAAGGGCUCGUAGGCGGCCAACUAAGUCAGACGUGAAAUCCCUCAGCUUAACUGGGGAACUGCGUCUGAUACUGGAUGGCUUGGAUUCGGGAGAGGAAUGCGGAAUUCCAGGUGUAGCGGUGAAAUGCGUAGAUAUCUGGAGGAACACCGGUGGCGAAGGCGGCAUCCUGGACCAAUUCUGACGCUGAGGAGCGAAAGCCAGGGGAGCAAACGGG